GCUUUCUCUCUAUACUCUCAUCUAGAUGUGGUUUAUUUGAGGACUGGUUAUCCACAGUGCAAGCUGAACCUUCAUAUGUUUGUAUUUCCGGCUGAAUUUUACUUAUUUUUAUAAGGUCAUCUGUUACAUGUUUCUGUGAAAUCUCCAAGUCCUCUGUAGUUGUAGUACCAGGAGUCACAGGUGCAUCAAGUUCCAAGGGUUCCUGCAAAAUGAUUACCAGUUUAUUAGUUGUGGGAAUGGAAAUAUGGGAACAAAGGUUAACUGGGUUACAAAAGUGAAUAAGGUGCAUGAGAAGAUUUUUAAUUCUAUCAAACCUUUUCAGUUGGAAUUUCUCUCUCUAUGUUUUCAUCUACUUCUUUUUUCUGCACACUUUGAAUAUCAGAGCAUUCUGCAUUGUUCACGGCGUCAACAGUUAUUGCUUCUGGUGUAUAAUCAAAGUCCUUCUCACGCUUUUGAACAUCUAUUACAGCAACUUCAGGUGUAAUUUUCUCAAUGGUAGUAGUAGUUUCUGGGUUAUUUUUCUCUAGAAGCAUCAUGGGGGAAGCUUCCUGAACAUUUCCUGGUAAACUUUCAGAAACUUUGCUACCCUCAGGGACUAUUUCAGCAACAUCGGAUGCAAUUUCAAAAACUUCAGUUGGCUUUUCUUCAGACUUGUGUAUAUCAUCAUAGCCUCUGCUGAUGCUCUCCUCAGAUCUAACUUCUAUACCUUGCUCUGUAGGACUUGAUAUCGAAUCAGAAGUGGUUUUCGUGAGGUCAUCUGCUUGUGAUUCGCUUAGUGUUUCUUUCUCCUUGUUUGCAUCUUCUUCCAAUGUCUUUUCUUCUGUCACCAAAAUCUUUGGAAACUCUUCCUCUAUGAAUUCUAGAUUCCGAUCCUUGUUGCUUAUGUUGCUGUGGUCAACCUGUGUCUUAUCUGUUUCUAGUACUAGUUCUUUUGUUUGGUCUUCAACAGUUGAAGAUGCAAGUUCUUCAAGUGGUACAAUGGACACAAGUUUCUGUUACAUGAAAAAAACCACAAAAAUCUACAUGAUCAGUAGGUGAAGGUUAAAUUUCCAUUUGCAUGUAAUAAUCUAAAUGCCAUUUAUAAUGAUAAAACUACAUGAAAUCAGGCUAUGUUAACAAUGUCUUAUUAGCAUAGGAUCAGUAUAGGGAGGCUUUAACCAUGGGAUAAUCACAGUAAUAUUUUGUCAAGGGCUCAUGGCCUAGUUUCUUUCAAGCUGGUUGUCAUCCAGUGGUCUCAAAUCGAAUUAAUAGAAGACAAAGUUAGGGUUAUUUUUUUAUCAUCAGGGCUUAAUCUUUUUACCUUCUCACUUAAUGACCCAUCCACAGGUGUUUGACACGUGUCAUUUGUUACUUCUGGAUGUUCUUCCUCCAUCUCCAUCUUGAGAGUUGUUUCAGGAGUUUGUAUUUCAGAUAUAAGUUCAUCAUCCUUUUCUUUCUUCUCAAACUCAAGAUCAGGGGCUUCUGCAGACUGUAUAUUUUCUAGUUCUGUUGGGCUUUCUGCUUUCACUUCUUUGACUUCAUUGUUUCCAGCUGGUAUCGGCUUUGAAUAUUCUAUCUGUUAAAAGAUAUUUAUCAUUUUAAUAUCUGAAUAAAUGAAAUCAAUCUGAUAUUUUAGUAUCCUUCUUGCUGUCUUUACUGACCUCAUCAUCUAGGUCCUUUUGAUUUGAUGUCGAUGUCUUAUCGAGUUCUGGAGGACAUAUAUCUUCCUCAGAAACAUGUUCAUUGACUUCAUUUUUUUCCUCUUCUUUUUCAGUCUCC
This 1758-nucleotide long non-coding RNA is filed under the name Lactuca sativa (garden lettuce). Its description in RNAcentral is "long non-coding RNA (LSAT_LNC004764)". Lineage: Eukaryota; Viridiplantae; Streptophyta; Magnoliopsida; Asterales; Asteraceae. The record is from RNAcentral.